RNAcentral lists this ribosomal RNA (191 nucleotides) under uncultured Glomeromycotina. Its description in RNAcentral is "partial small subunit ribosomal RNA". It matches the Rfam family "Eukaryotic small subunit ribosomal RNA", at positions 892 to 1078 of the family's 1831-position model. Lineage: Eukaryota; Fungi; Glomeromycota. The record is from RNAcentral.
UAGUAUUCAAUUGUCAGAGGUGAAAUCCCUUGGAUUUAUUGAAGACUAACUACUGCGAAAGUAUUUGCCAAGGAUGUUCUCAUUAAUCAAGAACGAAAGUUAGGGGAUCGAAGACGAUCAGAUACCGUCGUAGUCUUAACCAUAAACUAUGCCGACUAGGGAUCGGAUGAUGUUAAUUUUUUAAUGACUCA